AGUGAACGCUGGCGGUAGGCCUAACACAUGCAAGUCGAACGGCAGCACAGUAAGAGCUUGCUCUUACGGGUGGCGAGUGGCGGACGGGUGAGGAAUACAUCGGAAUCUACUUUUUCGUGGGGGAUAACGUAGGGAAACUUACGCUAAUACCGCAUACGACCUACGGGUGAAAGCAGGGGAUCUUCGGACCUUGCGCGAUUGGAUGAGCCGAUGUCGGAUUAGCUAGUUGGCGGGGGAAAGGCCCACCAAGGCGACGAUCCGUAGCUGGUCUGAGAGGAUGGUCAGCCACCCUGGAACUGGGCCACGGUCCAGACUCCUACGGGAGGCAGCAGUGGGGAAUAUUGGACAAUGGGCGCAAGCCUGAUCCAGCCAUACCGCGUGGGUGGAGAAGGCCUUCGGGUUGUAAAGCCCUUUUGUUGGGAAAGAAAAGCAGCAGGUUAAUACCCCGCUGUUCUGACGGUACCCAAUGAAUAAGCACCGGCUAACUUCGUG
Molecule: ribosomal RNA, 492 nt
Filed under: uncultured bacterium
Lineage: Bacteria
Description: partial 16S ribosomal RNA
Rfam family: Bacterial small subunit ribosomal RNA
Source: RNAcentral